AACGAACGCUGGCGGCAGGCUUAACACAUGCAAGUCGAGCGCACCCUUCGGGGUGAGCGGCGGACGGGUGAGUAACGCGUGGGAACGUGCCCUCUUCUACGGAAUAGCCUCGGGAAACUGAGAGUAAUGCCGUAUACGCCCGCAAGGGGAAAGAUUUAUCGGAGGAGGAUCGGCCCGCGUUGGAUUAGGUUGUUGGUGGGGUAACGGCCUACCAAGCCGACGAUCCAUAGCUGGUUUGAGAGGAUGAUCAGCCACACUGGGACUGAGACACGGCCCAGACUCCUACGGGAGGCAGCAGUGGGGAAUCUUGGACAAUGGGGGCAACCCUGAUCCAGCCAUGCCGCGUGAUCGAUGAAGGCCUUAGGGUUGUAAAGAUCUUUCAGCUGGGAAGAUAAUGACGGUACCAGCAGAAGAAGCCCCGGCUAACUCCGUG
Molecule: ribosomal RNA, 433 nt
Filed under: uncultured bacterium
Lineage: Bacteria
Description: partial 16S ribosomal RNA
Rfam family: Bacterial small subunit ribosomal RNA
Source: RNAcentral